RNAcentral lists this ribosomal RNA (324 nucleotides) under uncultured Assulina. RNAcentral describes it as "SSU rRNA". The stretch from base 106 to 324 matches the Rfam family "Eukaryotic small subunit ribosomal RNA", at positions 735 to 955 of the family's 1831-position model. The record is from RNAcentral. Lineage: Eukaryota; Cercozoa; Imbricatea; Euglyphida; Euglyphidae.
GAUUUCUGACAGACCGUUGCGGCCCGUGCUCGUUUCGGGCGUGUGUGCUGAGUCGUGUUUGUCAUCCUUCCGGAAAGCUGCGUCUACCAUUCAGUUGGCCGGACGUACGUGAUCCGGAUCUAUUACUUUGAAAAAAUUAGAGUGUUUAAAGCAGGCUUACGCUAUGAAUACAUUAGCAUGGAAUAAUAAUUUAGGACUUUGGUUCUAUUUUGUUGGUUUCUAGGACUGAAGUAAUGAUUGAUAGGGAUAGUUGGGGGUGCUAGUAUUCCGCGGCCAGAGGUGAAAUUCUUGGAUUCGCGGAAGACUAACUACUGCGAAAGCAUU